RNAcentral lists this ribosomal RNA (432 nucleotides) under uncultured bacterium. RNAcentral's name for it is "partial 16S ribosomal RNA". It matches the Rfam family "Bacterial small subunit ribosomal RNA", at positions 29 to 507 of the family's 1533-position model. The record is from RNAcentral.
ACGAACGCUGGCGGCAUGCCUAACACAUGCAAGUCGAACGAGACCUUCGGGUCUAGUGGCGCACGGGUGCGUAACGCGUGGGAACCUGCCCUUAGGUUCGGAAUAACUCCCCGAAAGGGGUGCUAAUACCGGAUAAUGUCUUCGGACCAAAGAUUUAUCGCCUUUGGAUGGGGCCGCGUUGGAUUAGCUAGUUGGUAGGGUAAAAGCCUACCGAGGCGACGAUCCAUAGCUGGUCUGAGAGGAUGAUCAGCCACACUGGGACUGAGACACGGCCCAGACUCCUACGGGAGGCAGCAGUGGGGAAUAUUGGACAAUGGGCGAAAGCCUGAUCCAGCAAUGCCGCGUGAGUGAUGAAGGCCUUAGGGUUGUAAAGCUCUUUUACCCGGGAUGAUAAUGACAGUACCGGGAGAAUAAGCACCGGCUAACUCCGUG